AUGAAAACUGUGUUAAAUGCUAAUAUGCCAAAAUGAAGAUCACACUCAAUAAAGCAGAUUUCUACAUGGAGGAAGCCAAUUUCAGCCCUCUGUCCCCCUAACUCACCCUGUAGUGGCCCUCCAGAGCCUCUUUUGUAAAGAAGGACUUUCUGUUCUGCUUUGUUAAUUUUGCCGCUGAUCUGGGAGAAUGGGCUAAGGGAAGAGAAAAAGCAGUGUGCAUAGCUGUCGUAGUCUGGGUGCCUCAGGUUACUUGCCAUUUUUUAUCUGUUACUUCUACUGACUUUUAACCUAGGAAGUUUCUUUUGCAGGAUGGAUAAAUUAAAUACUUGAUGAAGUGGUAAGCUGGUUCCUGUGUGUCCAUAUCUAUGUGUGGCAGUGAUAUGGGGUAAAGUUAAUAGAUAUUUUGAAUUCUGCCAAAGCACAGAAAAAUAUUUUUUUAGCUGGACUGCUGAGGGGCUGGGAAAUUGUGAUUGAUAUAUUAAUUGUGAUUCAAGUAGAUUCUUUUAGUUUCAUCCCUGCUAUUGAAAAUAUUUAUCUAAAAUAUACCAAUCUGUUUUCUUGUCAAGUAUAUCUAAUAGACUUAAUGAAAUCGUGUCCUAUUAUUAGGGGCAUUGACUCUUUAAUGAUGGAGGUUUCUAUAAGUUUUAGUUUUCAUGUCGUUCUUUUUAAUAUUACCACUUGAAAAAAUUGCAAUUCUAGAUGUUAUGUAUAGUUUUGUGGAAAAGUAGAAGAAAUUGUUUUUCCCACUGUAAACCCAAUAAAUGGUUGCUUUUUUGCAUUUUUCAUGCUGCAUAUCCCCCCACAUAAAUGUACACCAAACAAAAAAAAACAAAAACUUAAAUCUUAUUACUUAAGGGUUUCAGUUAGAUUAUAUAUAUAUAUAUAUAUAAUUUUUUUUAGAGAAUUUUUUUAAUAUCUAUUUUUUAGUUUUUUCAGCAGACACAACAUCUUUUGUUUGUAUGUGGUGCUUAGGAUCGAACCCGGGCCGCACGCAUGCCAGGCGAGCGUGCUACCUCUUGAGCCACAUCCCCAGCCCUAGAUUAUAUUUUUGACUGAGGUUUUUACCAUUUGUGCUGCUAGCUACAAUAAGAAAGCCAGGCACAUGGCUCACUAUGGAAUAUAAACAACUUUCUGCUAUUGUGGCACUGACAUGGAGGGUAGCUAUGAUUCCUAGAAGAGACGCUACCCAGAAGCCACAACCAAAAACACUACAGAGGUAUUUUUUAAAAUAUUUUUUUUAGAUGUUGAUGGACCUUUAUUUUAUUCAUUUAUUUAUAUGUAGUGCUGAGAAUCAAACUCAGUUCCUCACACAUGCUAGGCAAGUGCUGUACCACUGAGCCACAACCCCAGCCUAACAGAGGUUUUUUUGAACAAAUACUGGACUCCCAUUUCACUUGAUGGAGUCAGGGUUAGGUUACUCAACUGAAAUCCCUGGGAGAUACUCUAGGAUCCAGAAGGCAGGUUUGUUUCAGACCCCACUUCCUGUCCCGGAGGAUACCUAGAAGGUCUUUAGCUUCUGCAGUGCCUGGGUGUGGUAGCAUUUUGGAUUCUCUUCUCCAUCAUGGAGUAAAAGAAAUAAGGACUUGGAGCUCUUGCCAGCCAUCUCCUCUACCCCUACCCUGCAUCACAUGCCCACAUGUAUGUCUACGUGCUUAUGCACAGGCAAAUGCUUCUUCAUGGAGGUGAGGUCAGCAUGGAGGUGCUCCUUCUACUUCUGGGCAGAGAAGCAGGCAGGCUUGCCUCCUACAACACAUUGCUCACAGUGGCAGCAAAAGCCACAUGCAUAGGCUUCAGUCCCUUGGUGGCACCCUCUGCCGUGACCUCCUUUAUCCUCUAGUCCCUGUAGCAGUGGCCCUGGUAAAGAACCAUGGUUUUCUGAACACCUGGACUCAGCUGUGACAGAUGUGACAGCCUAUGGAGUCUGUCUGGACAAGGCCCACUGGAUUGCACUGUGUAGUUCUCCUAUGGAGUAGUUUAGGAAUUCCUUUCUCUGUUGUGUCCUUCACAGCCCAGAGUUGCCACCUAGGAAGUCAUCUUAUUCAUCAACUUUUAUGUUUGUCUUCUGCAUUACUGUAUAUUGUUUCUAUUUUGUAAUGUUAAUGGCAUUUUUGUUGGUGGCAAUAAAACAGAAUAUUUUAAAAAUCAAUAAUACAGAAGAGUAUAGAGUGAAAACUAAGAUCCCUCCUCCCUGUUCCCCAGCCUCCCAUUUUGCCUCCUGACUCCACACAUUCAGCCUUUGUGAUCUUUUCUUUCUAUCCUAACAAAGAUGUUUUCUUCAUAUAUAAGCUUGAGUUCAUGGUUUUCCAUUAUGAAAACCCACUGUAUUCAUUGUUCUUCACCUCCCUUACCCCCAGUUUAUUUGAAAUUAGGAAAAAAAAAAACCUGCUGAUGACUAACAAAACUUGGUUACCAGUUAAAACACUAACGUUUAGCUCAGUCCCCACACUCAGGAGGCUGAGGCAAGAGGAUCCCUUGAGUUCAAGAGUACGAGAUCAGCCUAAGCAAUAUGAUGAGACCCAUCUCAAAAAAAAAAGCUGGGCACAGUCAUGCUUACCUGUAACCCCAGCAACAAGGGAGAUUGAGGCAGGAGGAUCACAAGUUCAAGGCCAGUCUCAGCAACUCAGUGAGCCCUAAGCAGCUUAGCAAGACUCUGUCUCAAAAGAAAAAAUAAGAAGGUCUGGGAAUGUGGCUCAGUGGCAAAACCCCUUUGGGUUCAAUCCCCAAUACCAAAAGGAAAAAAAAAAACAGAAGUAAAAACCACGAGCAUUUUUCAAUUAGUCUACAAUUAAUAUAAUUUCAAGUUUUUUCUUUUUUUAAAUAUUUAUUUUUUAGUUUUAGGUGAACACAAUAUCUUUAUUUUAUUUUUAUGUGGUGCUGAGAAUCGAACCCAGUGCCUCAUGUAUGCUAGGCGAGUGCUCUACCACUUGAGCCAUAUCCCCAGCCCCUUAAGUGUUUUUUCUUAAAACAUCAGUGUUAUUUUCUUCCCAGCUUUCUAUCAUAUCAGCUCCUGAAAGGCCUAGCUAGACUGAAUCAUAUCUUUUUUUUCUUCUUCUUCUUCUUUUGGAGCUGGAGAUUGAAAUUCACUCAUGCUAAUAAGCAUGCGCUUUACCACUGAGUCGCACCCCAGCCCCAGACUUAUUUCUUAAGCAAAAUUUAGGUUUAGUUGCUCACAGGAAAAGAUUUCAAGGGAAGAGACUGACUCUGUGUGAGCUAUAAAUGCAGCCAGUUUCCUGUCAGCAUUUUCUGGAAGUCUUAAUUUGAUGACGAAUGUCUCUAGUGUGCAUUUACCACUGGAAACUUAAAAGAGCUUGGAUUUUUUUAAUUAUCUAAAUAUAGAUAGCCACCUCUGGGAGCUCUGAUAAUAAGUAUAGGUUCUACAACUAAUUACUGCUUUCUCUGUGAACAACGCGGAAAACUCUUUUCUUGUCAAAGAAAACCGCAGCAAUAAAACAAAGUUGUAUGACUAAAAACACCAGUUGUGAACAAAGACAUAAAAGGAGAUAAGAAUAUGAUAUUCUUGAGAAUAAUGGGGACUGGGAGAGUCCAUAGUCUCUUCUCCUGCUAUAAGGAAUCUUAGCAGUCUUCUCCAGAUGUAAGGUUAGAGCUGCUUUCAAAGAACUGUUGAAGAUCUGUCAAGUGUUUUGGGUUUUUUUUUUAAAUAUUUUUAAAAAUAUAUUUAUUUAUUUAAGGCGUAGAUGGACACAACACAAUGCCUUUAUUUUUAUGUGGUGCUGGGGAUUGAACCCGGGUCCCACCUGUACAAGGCGAGCACUCUAUCGCUGAGCCACAAUCCCAGCCCCUUUUUUUUUUUUUUUGUACUGGGGAC
Marmota monax (woodchuck) is the source of this 3826-nucleotide long non-coding RNA. RefSeq lists it as uncharacterized. Lineage: Eukaryota; Metazoa; Chordata; Mammalia; Rodentia; Sciuridae. The transcript is spliced from 2 exons. The record is from RefSeq and is a predicted model, not a curated record.